Molecule: non-coding RNA, 82 nt
Organism: Bombyx mori (domestic silkworm)
Lineage: Eukaryota; Metazoa; Arthropoda; Insecta; Lepidoptera; Bombycidae
Source: Rfam
UGCAUAAAUUUGUCUUUUUCCGCUUUGCUGCUGAUUUUUUUCGUACGUCAACGGCAAAGUGAAAAGGUCUCCUUUAUGAGAA